CUGGAUAGAAGCUGGGAGCAGAG
RNAcentral lists this non-coding RNA (23 nucleotides) under Cricetulus griseus (Chinese hamster). The record is from RNAcentral. Lineage: Eukaryota; Metazoa; Chordata; Mammalia; Rodentia; Cricetidae.